RNAcentral lists this transfer RNA (86 nucleotides) under Bordetella sp. Its description in RNAcentral is "tRNA-Leu". It matches the Rfam family "tRNA". Rfam says of the family: Transfer RNA (tRNA) molecules are approximately 80 nucleotides in length. Their secondary structure includes four short double-helical elements and three loops (D, anti-codon, and T loops). The record is from RNAcentral. Lineage: Bacteria; Pseudomonadati; Pseudomonadota; Betaproteobacteria; Burkholderiales; Alcaligenaceae.
GCGAAGGUGGCGAAAUAGGUAGACGCACCAGGUUUAGAUCCUGGCACUUAAAAAGUAUAGGGGUUCAAAUCCCCUCCUUCGCACCA